AAGGAUAUGUAUUUAUAUUCAUUUAAAGAAAACUCCUUUUGAAUGCAUUACUUGUUUGAUUUAGGAAGCAUUUAAUCAGAUAAAUAAUCUCACGAAUGUUUUAAGUAACUUGCUAAAACUUAAUUAAUUAAUUUGGUUUCUUUGAUAGUACACCCAGAGAAAAGUCUCAGAAAGCUAUCCAAGAUGAAAUCCGUUCAGUGAUCAGACAGAUCACAGCUACGGUGACAUUUCUGCCACUGUUGGAAGUUUCUUGUUCAUUUGAUCUACUGAUUUAUACAGACAAAGAUUUGGUUGUACCUGAAAAAUGGGAAGAGUCGGGACCGCAGUUUAUUACCAAUUCUGAGGAAGUCUGCCUUUGUUCGUUUACUACUACGAUCCACAAAGUAGAGGAAUGAAAACAACAUGUUCCGAUUGGGCCUGUCAAGGUCUGAAAUAGAGCCCCGGAAGGGACUGAACCACACCUGGUCUUCAGGAUUCUUCUCCCAGUGUCAUCAAUUGGACAGAGAAGUCAAGCCUUCAUGGGAAUUUUACACAGAGGUAUAACGAUCUUAUGUGUUAGUUGGCUUUUGCUUCAUAGCAAACAACCAUAGAAUAACCAUAGGCAUUUUUUUUCCUGUAAGUGUGGGUUAUCUGGGGUGCUUGUCUUAUUCUCAUGCAAAUCUAGGUUACAUGUCUCAUUCUACCAUUGAAGGGGCAAUGGCUAGCCAGGACUCCUAAAGCUUAGCUUCAGAACUUCCACACUGACAUUUUUGCCCACGUUCCACUGAUGCGGGCAAGUCUUGUGGCUCAGCCAAACCUCAGUGGGGCAGGGAAGUAUAUUCCUCCCACAGAGCUGGGGAAAGGGGUAUGUGAAAAUGUGAUGAAAGUGGUACUAUACAGGAAAGAUCAGAAUAGCUAUAAUAAUGCUACAUUGUAACUCAUAUUUUCCACCAGAUGUCACUAAUGCUGCAAUAUUCAAAUUAAGAAAAAUGUAGAACACGUUUUAACACUUUACCAUGAGCGAAGAUUGUAAAGUCCACACUGAAUAUUUAAGGAAAACCAUAUGAGUAUUUGUAUGAAAGACAUAUGAAUGCAGACAAGUCAUGAAGGCUGCGCACACACCAUGGAAGACUGGGAGACAUGUCAUAACCCAUCGUGGUCAAGCGUCAGAAGGGAGCCCGGGCAGCCAUCCCUCUCAGCAGAGCCGAGCGUACUCAUGGUGCUGAUGCGCUCCACACUCUUAAACUCUGCUUCACCCUACGGAGUCCUUCUGGAACUGCUGAAGGGCAUUUCGCUUUUUGCCCACAAAAGACGCAAGCACCAUAAGCCAGGUAGAAUUCCAUGUGGCACCCUACGCUGAAAGUUCACUCUCUGUUCUAUUUCUUAUCUCGAAUUAUGUCCAGCCACGUUGUCCAAAGUGACUCACGGACUUUAUGAAAUGAACACAGAGACUGUAUCAACAUUAAAAUGUCCCAAAUUUGAACAGUAUGAAACUUUUUUUUUAUUACUCAACUUCUCCCCAACCUAAAUCCCCUUGCAAAUAAAAGCCCAUAGAAAUUAAAGUCCAAAUGCCUUCAUUCUCAACUGUAUACAAUCGGGUCAGUGUCAGCCAGAGCUUUUUACUCAGAGCCUGGGUUCCUAUAGCUGCAGCCGAGUCCUGGGAUUUCACAGCAAUGCGUAUAGCUUCUUCAGCCUCUUCAAAGUUGUUUCAAACCUCUAAUUAGUUCUGGUCUCCAAGGGCUCAGCAGUCACAAAAGAAACUGCAUCCUCACUAUAGAAGCUGUCACAAACAAAACUAUGGUCCCCCAGUUAAAUGAAUAGGUAAUGUCUGACACUGCUGUUCUCGGCCAAAGAGCGCGGCAGAUCACUCAGUGCUGCCUGCAUUGAAGACAGUGAGGACCUGGGAACCCGGGUUUCAGUCCCAUGGCAAGCCAGCCUGUGGCACCAGCAUUAGGUCCACGGCCUGUGAGUCCGGUCGAUUCACUGAGCAGAAAGUGCCCAUCAAUGGUUGUACUUCCACGUUUAAUAUGUGUAUUUCUUUGUUUUGUUUUGGUGAUGUGUGUGGGAAUCUCCCAUAUAUAUUGCCUACUUUCUCUCAGCCAGUGACAUUUGGGACAUUGGUGCCUUCUUCACAAAUUUAGUUAUUCUGGUUUCUUCAUUUCCCUGUGUCUCCUGUCUCAUGCUUUUGGCACUUUGGUGCAAGAUUAUGGUCUAGAGAAAACAUCUACUCCCAAAUUCCUCCAAGUAUAUUCUCUCCAGAACAGUGGAGUGAAGUACACCGUCCUCUGUAAUGCAUGAGGAAUGGGGUAAUGAACAUCACCCUACUCCCUUAGCACUAUGUUUAACUUACUAAUAUACCAUGUUGCAUUUAUUCUGAUAGUAGUAAUUGUCAUCACUCUUCCACAGACUUUUCAUUCCUACCUAGGCAGGUUGAGUUGGACCUGGCUAGGAAGUAGUGACCAGAAUCAAGAUUUUAAGAAAAUAAAGUACCAUGAUCACAGUAAGAGCCAAUGAGUCAGGAUUAUUCUUUGUAAAGAAGUAACAGAAGGAUAUCAAAGUUUAGCAAGACUUUAAGAAGAUUCUAGAUAUCACAGAUUAAAGUAGUCAGAAGUUAGUAUUCCAAAGUGUUGCGCCAUUGAAAAGAUAGAACACAAGCACAAACAAAUAAAAAAGAUUCCAAGAAACUUAAAUUCAGGGUAGAAACUUUUCUG
Molecule: long non-coding RNA, 2690 nt
Organism: Ailuropoda melanoleuca (giant panda)
Lineage: Eukaryota; Metazoa; Chordata; Mammalia; Carnivora; Ursidae
Exons: 4
Source: RefSeq, a predicted model, not a curated record